This 685-nucleotide ribosomal RNA is filed under the name Hemiserica nasutella. RNAcentral's name for it is "eukaryotic LSU rRNA". It matches the Rfam family "Eukaryotic large subunit ribosomal RNA", at positions 644 to 1286 of the family's 3401-position model. Lineage: Eukaryota; Metazoa; Arthropoda; Insecta; Coleoptera; Scarabaeidae. The record is from RNAcentral.
GGGACCCGUCUUGAAACACGGACCAAGGAGUCUAGCAUGUGCGCGAGUCAUUGGGAUUUUCACUAAACCUAAAGGCGCAAUGAAAGUGAAGGUCCGCCUUGCGCGGACCGAGGGAGGAUGGACCGUUCCGAGGGACGGUCUCGCACUCCCGGGGCGUCUCGCUCUCAUCGCGAGAAGAGGCGCACCCAGAGCGUACACGCUGGGACCCGAAAGAUGGUGAACUAUGCCUGGUCAGGACGAAGUCAGGGGAAACCCUGAUGGAGGUCCGUAGCGAUUCUGACGUGCAAAUCGAUCGUCGGAACUGGGUAUAGGGGCGAAAGACUAAUCGAACCAUCUAGUAGCUGGUUCCCUCCGAAGUUUCCCUCAGGAUAGCUGGCGCUCGCUUCUCGCGAGUCUCAUUCGGUAAAGCGAAUGAUUAGAGGCAUUGGGGUCGAAACGGCCUCAACCUAUUCUCAAACUUUAAAUGGGUGAGAUCUCCGGCUUGCUUGAACUGUGAAGCCGCGAGAUAUCGGAUCAGAGUGCCAAGUGGGCCACUUUUGGUAAGCAGAACUGGCGCUGUGGGAUGAACCAAACGCAGAGUUAAAGCGCCUAAAUCGACGCUUAUGGGAUACCAUGAAAGGCGUUGGUAACUUAAGACAGCAGGACGGUGGCCAUGGAAGUCGGAAUCCGCUAAGGAGUGUGUAAA